UUUUUUUGUAAGUAUUGAUCCUUGAACAUAAUGGGAUUUGUACACACAUCAAAAUAACAGGCAGUCCUACAGGAUUGCUAGCACACACUCUGAACACAUGGUGACUGUAUCAGUCAAUGAGAAUAAUUCCGUUUUGAGUAAUUUUUCUCUUGAUUUUUUUCAGUGAACAAAAAACUAGUAAAAAUGAUAAAUAUUUAAAAAUAGUUUGACUUUUUAAAAGUCAUAGGAAUAUUUGGCAUAGGAAACAGAUAAGCCAUAGUAGUUUCUCUUAAAGAUCUACCAAACAUAUACCCUUAUUUUAUUUCCCUGAGCACCUAACAUAUUCUAUUUGUUUUACAACUCUUUGAAGCAUAUUUACUUAGGAAAGGUAUUUUUUCAUACAUUUCAUUUUGCUGGAUGAUUUUCUUUCAAUUCAUAUUAUCAGAGUUGAUUCUAG
RNAcentral lists this long non-coding RNA (436 nucleotides) under Bos taurus (domestic cattle). RNAcentral's name for it is "long non-coding RNA NONBTAT011185". The record is from RNAcentral. Lineage: Eukaryota; Metazoa; Chordata; Mammalia; Artiodactyla; Bovidae.